RNAcentral lists this ribosomal RNA (616 nucleotides) under Ochthebius corrugatus. RNAcentral's name for it is "partial 16S ribosomal RNA". It matches the Rfam family "Bacterial large subunit ribosomal RNA", at positions 1819 to 2767 of the family's 2925-position model. The record is from RNAcentral. Lineage: Eukaryota; Metazoa; Arthropoda; Insecta; Coleoptera; Hydraenidae.
GUCUUUUUGAUUAUAAUUUAAAGUCUGGCCUGCCCGAUGAUAUUAUUUCAAUGGCCGCGGUAUUUUGACCGUGCAAAGGUAGCAUAAUCAUUAGUUUUUUGAUUGAAAGCUGGUAUGAAUGGCUGGACGAGAAAAUUACUGUCUCAAUUUAAUUUAAUUAGAAUUUUAUUUUUAAGUUAAAAAGCUUAAAUAUAUUUAAAAGACGAGAAGACCCUAUAGAGUUUAAUAUUUAUUUAAAUAUAGUUAUUUAUAAUUAAUUUUUUUUAAAUAAAUAUUUUAUUGGGGUGAUAAAUAAAUUUAAUAAACUUUAUUUAUUUGUUCACAUAGAUUUAUGAGUUUGUGAUCCAUUAUUAAUGAUUAUAAGAUUAAAUUACCUUAGGGAUAACAGCGUAAUUUUUUUAGAGAGUUCAAAUCGAAAAAAAAGAUUGCGACCUCGAUGUUGGAUUAAAGUUAAUUUCUGGUGUAGUAGCUGGAAUAUUGAGUCUGUUCGACUUUUAAAACUUUACAUGAUCUGAGUUUAAACCGGCGUGAGCCAGGUUGGUUUCUAUCUUUAAAUAAUUAAAAUAUUUUAGUACGAAAGGACCAAAUAUUUAUAAUAUUUAUUAAAUUAGAAUAA